GAUGAACGCUGGCGGCGUGCCUAAUACAUGCAAGUCGAACGAGGUGCUUGAGUAGCAAUACGAGAGUAUCCUAGUGGCGAACGGGUGAGUAACGCGUUGGUGACCUACCCCAAAGUGUGGGAUAACAGUUCGAAAGGACUGCUAAUACCGCAUGUGGUUAUCGGAUUUAGAAACUGAUAACUAAAGGAGCAAUUCGCUUUGGGAGGGACCUGCGUCCCAUCAGCUAGUUGGUGAGGUAAUGGCUCACCAAGGCUACGACGGGUAGGGGACCUGAGAGGGUGACCCCCCACAAUGGAACUGAAACACGGUCCAUACACCUACGGGUGGCUG
RNAcentral lists this ribosomal RNA (330 nucleotides) under uncultured Chloroflexota bacterium. RNAcentral's name for it is "bacterial SSU rRNA". It matches the Rfam family "Bacterial small subunit ribosomal RNA", at positions 28 to 351 of the family's 1533-position model. Lineage: Bacteria; Bacillati; Chloroflexota. The record is from RNAcentral.